UACGUAGGAGACGAGCGUUGUCCGGAGUUACUGGGCGUAAAGGGUGCGCAGGCGGCCCUGCGCGUCGCGAGUGAAAUCUCCCCGGCUCAACUGGGAGGGUGGUCGCGAGACGGCAGGGCUUGAGGCUCGGUGAGGGGCGUGGAAUUCCGGGUGGAGCGGUGAAAUGCGUAGAGAUCCGGAGGAACACCAACGGCGUAGGCAGCGCCCUAGACGAGACCUGACGCUCAGGCACGAAAGCGCGGGGAGCGAACAGG
This 254-nucleotide ribosomal RNA is filed under the name uncultured bacterium. Its description in RNAcentral is "partial 16S ribosomal RNA". It matches the Rfam family "Bacterial small subunit ribosomal RNA", at positions 524 to 776 of the family's 1533-position model. The record is from RNAcentral.